Molecule: non-coding RNA, 120 nt
Organism: Bacillus sp. FJAT-25509
Lineage: Bacteria; Bacillati; Bacillota; Bacilli; Caryophanales; Bacillaceae
Source: Rfam
UAAAAAAAAACCCCGCAUUUGCAGGGCCCCUCUUAUUAAAGUGUAAUCACUUAAAAGAAGGCAAAGGGAGAGGAGAAACCGGAGGAAGAACUUAUGGGGAAACGUAAGUCUUCUCCGCGG